RNAcentral lists this ribosomal RNA (393 nucleotides) under uncultured bacterium. Its description in RNAcentral is "bacterial SSU rRNA". It matches the Rfam family "Bacterial small subunit ribosomal RNA", at positions 149 to 518 of the family's 1533-position model. The record is from RNAcentral.
CGCCGAAAGGGGUACGUAAUACCGGAUAUUCUUGCUUUUCAUAAGUUAUGCAAGCAAAGGUGGCCGUCUGCAUAUGCUACUGCAUGAAGAGGGGUCUGCGUACCAUUAGCUAGUAGGUGGGGUAAUGGCCUACCUAGGCGACGGAUGGUUAGCGGGUCUGAGAGGAUGAUCCGCCACACUGGCACUGGAACACGGGCCAGACUCCUACGGGAGGCAGCAGUGAGGAAUAUUGCGCAAUGGGGGAAACCCUGACGCAGCGACGCCGCGUGAGUGAAGGAAGGCCUUCGGGUCGUAAAGCUCUGUCAAGAGGAAAGAAGUGUACAAUGGCUAAUACCUGUUGUAUUUGACGGUACCUCUAAAGGAAGCACCGGCUAACUCCGUGCCAGCAGCGGC